This 24-nucleotide microRNA is filed under the name Solanum tuberosum (potato). RNAcentral's name for it is "stu-miR8025-5p". Lineage: Eukaryota; Viridiplantae; Streptophyta; Magnoliopsida; Solanales; Solanaceae. The record is from miRBase by way of RNAcentral.
ACAUACUCGACAUGCAAUUAAAUU